Molecule: ribosomal RNA, 162 nt
Filed under: uncultured bacterium
Lineage: Bacteria
Description: partial 16S ribosomal RNA
Rfam family: Bacterial small subunit ribosomal RNA
Source: RNAcentral
CCUACGGGGGGCAGCAGUGGGGAAUAUUGGACAAUGGGCGAAAGCCUGAUCCAGCAAUGCCGCGUGAGUGAUGAAGGCCUUAGGGUUGUAAAGCUCUUUUACCCGGGAUGAUAAUGACAGUACCGGGAGAAUAAGCUCCGGCUAACUCCGUGCCAGCNGCCG